RNAcentral lists this ribosomal RNA (1229 nucleotides) under metagenome. RNAcentral's name for it is "bacterial SSU rRNA". It matches the Rfam family "Bacterial small subunit ribosomal RNA", at positions 228 to 1447 of the family's 1533-position model. The record is from RNAcentral.
AGCCUGCGGCCCAUUAGGCAGUUGGCGGGGUAACGGCCCACCAAACCGACGAUGGGUAGCCGGCCUGAGAGGGUGUACGGCCACACUGGAACUGAGACACGGUACAGACUCCUACGGGAGGCAGCAGCUAAGAAUCUUCCGCAAUGGGGGAAACCCUGACGGAGCGACGCCGCGUGGACGAUGAAGGCCGUAAGGUUGUAAAGUCCUUUUGCAGGCGAAGAAUAAGGAGGGGAGUGGAAAGCCCUUCUGAUGACGUUAGCCUGCGAAUAAGCCCCGGCCAAUUACGUGCCAGCAGCCGCGGUAAUACGUAUGGGGCGAGCGUUGUUCGGAGUUAUUGGGCGUAAAGGGCGUGUAGGCGGUCCGAGAAGUCUGGUGUGAAAUCGCGGGGCUCAACCCUGCGUGUGCGCUGGAAACUGACGGACUGGGGUCCUGGGGGGAAGCUGGAAUUCCUGGUGUAGGAGUGAAAUCUGUAGAGAUCAGGAAGAACACCGGUGGCGAAGGCGAGCUUCUAUUCGAGGACUGACGCUGAGGCGCGAAAGCGUGGGGAGCAAACAGGAUUAGAUACCCUGGUAGUCCACGCUGUAAACGAUGUGCACUAGGCGUGGGGCACGUCGGUGCUCUGUGCCGUAGCCAACGCGAUAAGUGCACCGCCUGGGGAGUAUGCUCGCAAGGGUGAAACUCAAAGGAAUUGACGGGGGCCCGCACAAGCGGUGGAGCAUGUGGUUUAAUUCGAUGGUACACGAGGAACCUUACCAGGGCUUGACAUGUGCAUGACAGUCCGUGAGAACGGGCGUCCCCGCAAGGGGCAUGCACACAGGUGCUGCUUGGCUGUCGUCAGCUCGUGUCGUGAGAUGUUGGGUUAAGUCCCGCAACGAGCGCAACCCUUACCGUCUGUUGCCAACGGGUGAUGCCGGGGACUCGGACGGAACUGCCGGUGACAAACCGGAGGAAGGUGGGGAUGAGGUCAAGUCAUCAUGGCCCUUAUGUCCUGGGCUACACACGUGCUACAAUGGUCGGUACAAAGCGAGGCGAAACGGCGACGUGGAGCGAAUCGCAGAAAGCCGAUCUCAGUGCGGAUUGGAGUCUGAAACCCGACUCCAUGAAGUUGGAAUCGCUAGUAAUCGCGCAUCAGCAUGGCGCGGUGAAUACGUUCCCGGGCCUUGUACACACCGCCCGUCACACCACCCGAGUUGGGGGUACCCGAAGUCAGUUGCCUAACUCUGCCACGC